CCAGCAAUGGUCUAGUGGUAUGAUUGUCGCUUCGGGUUUCUCCCGCAGAGCUUCUCUGCUCGAUUGUGACAGGCCCCGGGUUCGAAUCCCGGUUGAGUGA
This 100-nucleotide transfer RNA is filed under the name Cercospora zeae-maydis SCOH1-5. RNAcentral describes it as "tRNA-Pro". It matches the Rfam family "tRNA". From Rfam's summary of the family: Transfer RNA (tRNA) molecules are approximately 80 nucleotides in length. Lineage: Eukaryota; Fungi; Ascomycota; Dothideomycetes; Mycosphaerellales; Mycosphaerellaceae. The record is from RNAcentral.